RNAcentral lists this ribosomal RNA (909 nucleotides) under uncultured archaeon. Its description in RNAcentral is "bacterial SSU rRNA". It matches the Rfam family "Archaeal small subunit ribosomal RNA", at positions 1 to 920 of the family's 1478-position model. The record is from RNAcentral.
UUCCGGUUGAUCCUGCCGGACCUGACUGCUAUCGGAUUGAUACUAAGCCAUGCGAGUCUUUGUAGUAAUACAAGGCAGACGGCUCAGUAACACGUAGUCAAUCUAAGCUAUGGACAGGGAUAACCUCGGGAAACUGAGAAUAAUACCUGAUAGAUCACAAUGCCUGGAAUGGUUUGUGGUUGAAAUGAUUUAUCGCCAUAGGAUGGGACUGCGACCUAUCAGUUUGUUGGUGAGGUAAUGGCCCACCAAGACUAUUACAGGUACGGGCUCUGAGAGGAGAAGCCCGGAGAUGGGUACUGAGACACGGACCCAGGCCCUAUGGGGCGCAGCAGGCGAGAAAACUUUGCAAUGUGCGAAAGCACGACAAGGUUAAUCCGAGUGUUUUCUGCUAAAGAAAUCUUUUGUCAGUUCUAGAAAUACUGAUGAAUAAGGGGUGGGCAAGUUCUGGUGUCAGCCGCCGCGGUAAAACCAGCACCUCAAGUGGUCAGGAUGAUUAUUGGGCCUAAAGCAUCCGUAGCCUGGUGUGUAAGUUUUCGGUUAAAUCCAUAUGCUCAACGUAUGGGCUGCCGGGAAUACUGUACACCUAGGGAGUGGGAGAGGUAGACGGUACUCGGUAGGAAGGGGUAAAAUCCUUUGAUCUAUUGAUGACCACCUGUGGCGAAGGCGGUCUACCAGAACACGUCCGACGGUGAGGGAUGAAAGCUGGGGGAGCAAACCGGAUUAGAUACCCGGGUAGUCCCAGCUGUAAACUAUGCAAACUCGGUGAUGCAUUGGCUUGAUGCCAAUGCAGUGCCGCAGGAAGCCGUUAAGUUUGCCGCCUGGGAAGUACGUACGCAAGUAUGAAACUUAAAGGAAUUGGCGGGGGAGCACCACAAGGGUGAAGCCUGCGGUUCAUUGGAUUCAACGCGA